This 272-nucleotide long non-coding RNA is filed under the name Crocodylus porosus (Australian saltwater crocodile). Its description in RNAcentral is "lncRNA (ENSCPRG00005001919.1)". Lineage: Eukaryota; Metazoa; Chordata; Crocodylia; Crocodylidae. The record is from RNAcentral.
GGGAAUUGCAGCAGGCUGUCUGGAAAGUGUAAGCUCGUGUUAGGAAAAAGUUGCUUUCUAGGGAAACUACAGCAAGAAGAAGAACCAGAGCCAUAUGGAGUGAAAAAGCUUAGGCUGAGAUUGUUUCAUCAGAUUGGACUGCAGCUGCAUAGAACAUGCUGUACUUCCCCAAGCUCCUCAGGAAUCCAGAUGAAACCACUGCUUGCUUCAGGGUCAAGAUUUUCAAAAAAAAGAUGACAAAUAAAUUAUAAAUCUUGAGAAAAUUGCUCCCA